GUUACUUUGGCAGAAUAGUGUAUUGAAUUUAGAAUUCAAAAAUGUAAUUUAAUUACAGGUAAUA
Molecule: transfer RNA, 64 nt
Filed under: Chrysoperla nipponensis
Lineage: Eukaryota; Metazoa; Arthropoda; Insecta; Neuroptera; Chrysopidae
Also listed under: 1 other name
Description: tRNA-Leu
Rfam family: tRNA
About the family: Transfer RNA (tRNA) molecules are approximately 80 nucleotides in length.
Source: RNAcentral